Schizosaccharomyces pombe (fission yeast) is the source of this 910-nucleotide non-coding RNA. NCBI's taxonomy places the organism in Eukaryota, Fungi, Ascomycota, Schizosaccharomycetes, Schizosaccharomycetales, Schizosaccharomycetaceae. The record is from the annotation of a GenBank genome assembly.
UUUUUUUUUUUUUACAAUAGGAUUUUAUGCUUUGUUGAAAUUAGCACUAUUGACUGCAAACACUUCAAUGCACGAUACAAAAAAUCUACAUGCCAGCUUUCAUUAUAUGACAAAAAAAGCUUCAAUUUUUUAGUAACUAAAAACAAUAGAAGGAGCUUCUGUCUUAAAUUUAUGUAGCGAAAUCCUUAUGGAGGUUAAGGCACAUAGGUUCAUUGAAUUUCUUCAUGUAUACCUGGACUUUCACCUGCCUGUGAGGAAUCUUCAGUAAACGAUCUUACCAAUGAGGAUGAAGUGGAAGCCAACUUUUGCAAUAUUUUGUUCUGGGUUUCACGAUAGUAAGUUUCUCUAUGAGGUCUAAACAGUGCUAAUACUUUAGAAACCACGUCCUUCCUUGUAAUAACAGUUUUUUGUUUUACAGAAUUUUCAUUAUUAAUAGCCUUCUCGUCAUUCAGAGGUUUGGCCGUGAUCGUACUGGGUGAGUUCGGAAUAUUGGCAUCUAAAGGGGAGAUCGAAGACUUCACUUCGUUAUAAAGGCUCAUGAAACAGUCAAUAAGAAAAUCAUCGACCUUAAUUGUUGGAUAUAGGCCAUUGUUCAGUUUCCUGAUUUCAUAUACUUGAUGAAGAAGGCUCAACUUUUGUUCAUCUAAUAAACUUAUUUCUUUGUAGACAUAUUUAAAUUCCACAAGUGGUAAAUCAUUAAUCUGAGUCUCUUUUACGGAGUGCUGAAGUCUCAAGUCUUCAAGGUACUUGAUCAUUAUGUCCAGCCAAAUUUGACGGUGUUCAUAAAUAGUGGAGGAUGAACGACGAAAUCUUUUUAAAAACUGCAAAAAGUUUACCUUGUCGUUGGUUUUGUAAAAAAGGGAGAGUAGAUAUCUUGAAUAGGUAGCACCGUAAUAAAAAUGCCGUCCAG